UCCUAGCCUCGAUCGAAGCAUUUGUCUGAGCUCAUUUUCAGGUAUUUGUUUCGGCGGCUUCGCCGCCGAAACAAAUACCUGAAAAUAGCGAGUGCGGAGAGCGGGAAAAAGC
This 112-nucleotide unclassified non-coding RNA is filed under the name Chryseobacterium soldanellicola. RNAcentral describes it as "Flavo-1 RNA". Lineage: Bacteria; Pseudomonadati; Bacteroidota; Flavobacteriia; Flavobacteriales; Weeksellaceae. The record is from RNAcentral.